GAUGAACGCUGGCGGCGUGCCUAAUACAUGCAAGUCGAGCGAACGGACGAGAAGCUUGCUUCUCUGAUGUUAGCGGCGGACGGGUGAGUAACACGUGGAUAACCUACCUAUAAGACUGGGAUAACUUCGGGAAACCGUAGCUAAUACCGGAUAAUAUUUUGAACCGCAUGGUUCAAAAGUGAAAGACGGUCUUGCUGUCACUUAUAGAUGGAUCCGCGCUGCAUUAGCUAGUUGGUAAGGUAACGGCUUACCAAGGCAACGAUGCAUAGCCGACCUGAGAGGGUGAUCGGCCACACUGGAACUGAGACACGGUCCAGACUCCUACGGGAGGCAGCAGUAGGGAAUCUUCCGCAAUGGGCGAAAGCCUGACGGAGCAACGCCGCGUGAGUGAUGAAGGUCUUCGGAUCGUAAAACUCUGUUAUUAGGGAAGAACAUAUGUGUAAGUAACUGUGCACAUCUUGACGGUACCUAAUCAGAAAGCCACGGCUAACUACGUGCCAGCAGCCGCGGUAAUACGUAGGUGGCAAGCGUUAUCCGGAAUUAUUGGGCGUAAAGCGCGCGUAGGCGGUUUUUUAAGUCUGAUGUGAAAGCCCACGGGCUCACCGUGGAGGGUCAUUGGAAACUGGAAAACUUGAGUGCAGAAGAGGAAAGUGGAAUUCCAUGUGUAGCGGUGAAAUGCGCAGAGAUAUGGAGGAACACCAGUGGCGAAGGCGACUUUCUGGUCUGUAACUGACGCUGAUGUGCGAAAGCGUGGGGAUCAAACAGGAUUAGAUACCCUGGUAGUCCACGCCGUAAACGAUGAGUGCUAAGUGUUAGGGGGUUUCCGCCCCUUAGUGCUGCAGCUAACGCAUUAAGCACUCCGCCUGGGGAGUACGACCGCAAGGUUGAAACUCAAAGGAAUUGACGGGGACCCGCACAAGCGGUGGAGCAUGUGGUUUAAUUCGAAGCAACGCGAAGAACCUUACCAAAUCUUGACAUCCUUUGACAACUCUAGAGAUAGAGCCUUCCCCUUCGGGGGACAAAGUGACAGGUGGUGCAUGGUUGUCGUCAGCUCGUGUCGUGAGAUGUUGGGUUAAGUCCCGCAACGAGCGCAACCCUUAAGCUUAGUUGCCAUCAUUAAGUUGGGCACUCUAAGUUGACUGCCGGUGACAAACCGGAGGAAGGUGGGGAUGACGUCAAAUCAUCAUGCCCCUUAUGAUUUGGGCUACACACGUGCUACAAUGGACAAUACAAAGGGCAGCGAAACCGUGAGGUCAAGCAAAUCCCAUAAAGUUGUUCUCAGUUCGGAUUGUAGUCUGCAACUCGACUACAUGAAGCUGGAAUCGCUAGUAAUCGUAGAUCAGCAUGCUACGGUGAAUACGUUCCCGGGUCU
RNAcentral lists this ribosomal RNA (1372 nucleotides) under uncultured bacterium. RNAcentral describes it as "bacterial SSU rRNA". It matches the Rfam family "Bacterial small subunit ribosomal RNA", at positions 28 to 1381 of the family's 1533-position model. The record is from RNAcentral.